GAUAAACGCUGGCGGCGCACAUAAGACAUGCAAGUCGAACGAACUUAAUUGAGAGCUUGCUCUCAAAGCGGUUAGUGGCGGACUGGUGAGUAACACGUAAGCAACCUGCCUAUUAGAGGGGAAUAACAGCGAGAAAUCGUUGAUAAUACCGCAUAUGCUGUGAGUAUCGCAUGAUACAAGCAGGAAAGGAGCAAUCCGCUAAUAGAUGGGCUUGCGUCUGAUUAGUUAGUUGGUGGGGUAACGGCCUACCAAGACGAUGAUCAGUAGCCGGACUGAGAGGUUGAACGGCCACAUUGGGACUGAGAUACGGCCCAGACUCCUACGGGAGGCAGCAGUCGGGAAUAUUGCGCAAUGGAGGAAACUCUGACGCAGUGACGCCGCGUGCAGGAAGAAGGUUUUCGGAUUGUAAACUGCUUUUAACAGGAAAGAAAAAAAUGACGGUACCUGUUGAAUAAGCUCCGGCUAACUACGUGCCAGCAGCCGCGGUAAUACGUAGGGAGCGAGCGUUAUCCGGAUUUAUUGGGUGUAAAGGGUGCGUAGACGGAAAUGCAAGUUAGUUGUGAAAUACCUCGGCUUAACUGAGGAACUGCAACUAAAACUAUAUUUCUUGAGUAUCGGAGGGGUUUGUGGAAUUCCUAGUGUAGCGGUGAAAUGCGUAGAUAUUAGGAAGAACACCGGUGGCGAAGGCGACAAACUGGACGAUAACUGACGUUGAGGCACGAAAGUGUGGGGAGCAAACAGG
This 742-nucleotide ribosomal RNA is filed under the name uncultured Eubacteriales bacterium. RNAcentral's name for it is "bacterial SSU rRNA". It matches the Rfam family "Bacterial small subunit ribosomal RNA", at positions 28 to 776 of the family's 1533-position model. Lineage: Bacteria; Bacillati; Bacillota; Clostridia; Eubacteriales. The record is from RNAcentral.